UGUAAGCGUAUACCAAAGUUGUUGCAGUUAAAACGCUCGUAGUCGGAAUUUGGCAGUUCCGGAAGUGUGCACGUCGUGUGCGCACUUUGCGGGGACUGCUUUUGUGGUCUUGCGUAGGAUGAGGCACUUUCAUUAGUGAACGUCCUCACGCAACCACUCUUUACUGUGAGAAAAUCAGAGUGCUCAAAGCAGGCAUUUGCCGUGAAUGUAUUAGCAUGGAAUAAUAGAAGAGGACUCGGUUCUAUUUUGUUGGUUUGUUGGGACUGAGUAAUGAUUAAGAGGGACAGUUGGGGGCAUUUGUAUUCCGGCGCUAGAGGUGAAAUUCUUAGAUUGCCGGAAGACAAACUGCUGCGAAAGCGUCUGCCAAGGAUGUUUUCAUUGA
This 382-nucleotide ribosomal RNA is filed under the name uncultured eukaryote. Its description in RNAcentral is "partial 18S ribosomal RNA". It matches the Rfam family "Eukaryotic small subunit ribosomal RNA", at positions 592 to 976 of the family's 1831-position model. The record is from RNAcentral.